Molecule: ribosomal RNA, 300 nt
Filed under: uncultured Psychrobacter sp.
Lineage: Bacteria; Pseudomonadati; Pseudomonadota; Gammaproteobacteria; Moraxellales; Moraxellaceae
Description: bacterial SSU rRNA
Rfam family: Bacterial small subunit ribosomal RNA
Source: RNAcentral
GCGAAGCGCGUGCCAGAAGGCGGGGUAAGACGGAGGGUGCAAGCGUUGUCCGGAUUCACUGGGUUUAAAGGGUGCUUAGGCGGACUUUUAAGUCCGUGGUGAAAUCUCCGGGCUUAACCCGGAAACUGCCAUGGAUACUAAGAGUCUUGAAUGUUGUGGAGGUUAGCGGAAUAGUUCAUGUAGCGGUGAAAUGCAUAGAUAUGACCUAGAACACCAAGUGCGAAGGCAGCUGGCUACACAAAUAUUGACGCUGAGGCACGAAAGCGUGGGGAUCAAACAGGAUUAGAUACCCGAGUAGUC